ACAGUGUCUGGUGGGUAGUUUGACUGGGGCGGUCUCCUCCUAAAGAGUAACGGAGGAGCACGAAGGUUGGCUAAUCCUGGUCGGACAUCAGGAGGUUAGUGCAAUGGCAUAAGCCAGCUUGACUGCGAGCGUGACGGCGCGAGCAGGUGCGAAAGCAGGUCAUAGUGAUCCGGUGGUUCUGAAUGGAAGGGCCAUCGCUCAACGGAUAAAAGGUACUCCGGGGAUAACAGGCUGAUACCGCCCAAGAGUUCAUAUCGACGGCGGUGUUUGGCACCUCGAUGUCGGCUCAUCACAUCCUGGGGCUGAAGUAGGUCCCAAGGGUAUGGCUGUUCGCCAUUUAAAGUGGUACGCGAGCUGGGUUUAGAACGUCGUGAGACAGUUCGGUCCCUAUCUGCCGUGGGCGCUGGAGAACUGAGGGGGGCUGCUCCUAGUACGAGAGGACCGGAGUGGACGCAUCACUGGUGUUCGGGUUGUCAUGCCAAUGGCACUGCCCGGUAGCUAAAUGCGGAAGAGAUAAGUGCUGAAAGCAUCUAAGCACGAAACUUGCCCCGAGAUGAGUUCUCCCUGAGACUUUAGGUCUCCUGAAGGAACGUUGAAGACGACGACGUUGAUAGGCCGGGUGUGUAAGCGCAGCGAUGCGUUGAGCUAACCGG
This 653-nucleotide ribosomal RNA is filed under the name Salmonella enterica subsp. enterica serovar Indiana. Its description in RNAcentral is "partial 23S ribosomal RNA". It matches the Rfam family "Bacterial large subunit ribosomal RNA", at positions 2251 to 2898 of the family's 2925-position model. The record is from RNAcentral. Lineage: Bacteria; Pseudomonadati; Pseudomonadota; Gammaproteobacteria; Enterobacterales; Enterobacteriaceae.